RNAcentral lists this ribosomal RNA (259 nucleotides) under uncultured bacterium. Its description in RNAcentral is "partial 16S ribosomal RNA". It matches the Rfam family "Bacterial small subunit ribosomal RNA", at positions 524 to 776 of the family's 1533-position model. The record is from RNAcentral.
UACGGUAGGGGGCUAGCGUUGUCCGGAAAUCAUUGGGCGUAAAGCGCGUGUAGGCGGGUCCGGUAAGUCCGCUGUGAAAGUCGGGGGCUCAACCUCGGAUGCCGGUGGAGUACUGUCGGGCUUGAGUACGGAAGAGGCGAGUGGAAUUCCGUGGUGUAGCGGUGAAAUGCGUAGAUAUCGGGAGGAACACCUGUGGCGAAAGCGGCGCACUGGACCACAACUGACGCUGGAGGCGCGAAAGCCUAGGGGAGCAACCAGG